GCUCCUUUGGCUAUAUUCCCCCAGGUAUGUUGUUUUGAUUCUAUAUGGUUGGAGCUAGAUCAUUCCCAAUCCCAAAGUAGUAGCUUCAUGAGUUUUAUUUAUUUAUUCUGUAUGUUUGAACCUUUAAUUAUAUUGUGACCUAGUAGUUUCAUCAAUGUCUAUUCAUUUUGCCCUGGUUUUUGCCUGAAUGUCAUCUUGUCUACCAAAAAUACAGCUUCAAUUUAUCUAACCUGCAUGUAAGAAUUCAAAGUGAACAUCACGAUGAACAUAACUUGGCAGGUUAUAAUAGAUAAAUUAUAGCUAAAGGCUGCAACAUUUUGAAGUGUUUCCUAUCAGCCUAUGAAGUUUUUGUUGCCAAAAUCUUAAGCUACUACUCUCCUAUUUGGUUAGCCGGAUCAAUUCACAUACACUGUAUAUGGGUCUAAAAGCUAAAAGUUAAAAUGAAAAUGUUUUUUUCUAAUGCUUAUUAUGUUUUUGUUCACCAUCCAGAAUAUGCAUAUACAAUGCAA
This 509-nucleotide unclassified non-coding RNA is filed under the name Hevea brasiliensis (rubber tree). The record is from RNAcentral. Lineage: Eukaryota; Viridiplantae; Streptophyta; Magnoliopsida; Malpighiales; Euphorbiaceae.